AAAUAAGAUUUGCCGUGAGGAGUCAGCAGAGGUCAUAGUACUCUGUGUAGUCGACGACACGGAGGAAGGAC
Molecule: non-coding RNA, 71 nt
Filed under: Petrotoga olearia
Lineage: Bacteria; Thermotogati; Thermotogota; Thermotogae; Petrotogales; Petrotogaceae
Source: RNAcentral